UACAGAGGGGGCAAGCGUUGUUCGGAAUUACUGGGCGUAAAGGGCGCGUAGGCGGCCUGCUAAGUCGAACGUGAAAUCCCCGAGCCCAACUCGGGAACUGCGUCCGAUACUGGCAGGCUUGAAUCCGGGAGAGGGAUGCGGAAUUCCAGGUGUAGCGGUGAAAUGCGUAGAUAUCUGGAGGAACACCGGUGGCGAAGGCGGCAUCCUGGACCGGCAUUGACGCUGAGGCGCGAAAGCCAGGGGAGCAAACGGG
This 253-nucleotide ribosomal RNA is filed under the name uncultured bacterium. RNAcentral describes it as "partial 16S ribosomal RNA". It matches the Rfam family "Bacterial small subunit ribosomal RNA", at positions 524 to 776 of the family's 1533-position model. The record is from RNAcentral.